Molecule: ribosomal RNA, 460 nt
Filed under: uncultured bacterium
Lineage: Bacteria
Description: partial 16S ribosomal RNA
Rfam family: Bacterial small subunit ribosomal RNA
Source: RNAcentral
UCUACGGGUGGCAGCAGUGAGGAAUAUUGGUCAAUGGACGAGAGUCUGAACCAGCCAAGUAGCGUGAAGGAUGACUGCCCUAUGGGUUGUAAACUUCUUUUAUAUGGGAAUAAAAUGUUCCACGUGUGGGAUUUUGUAGGUACCAGAUGAAUAAGGAUAGGCUAACUCCGGGACAGCAGCCGCGGUAAUACGGAGGAACCGGGCGUUAUCCGGUUUUAUUGGGUUUAAAGGGAGCGUAGGUGGAUGGUUAAGUCAGUUGUGUAGGUUUGCGGCGCAACCGUAAAAUUGCAGUUGACACUGGCAGUCUUGAGUACAGUAGAGGUGGGCGGAAGUCGUGGUGUAGCGGUGAAAUGCUUAGAUAUCACGAAGAACUCCGAUUGCGAAGGCAGUUCACUGGACUGCAACUGACACUGAGGCUCGAAAGUGUGGGUAUCAAACAGGAUUAGAUACCCGUGUAGUC